AAUGGAGGAAACUCUGAUGCAGCGAUGCCGCGUGAGAGAAGAAGGCCUUUGGGUUGUAAAGCUCUUUCGUCGGGGAAGAAAAUGACGGUACCCGAAUAAGAAGGUCCGGCUAACUUCGUGCCAGCAGCCGCGGUAAUACGAAGGGACCUAGCGUAGUUCGGAAUUACUGGGCUUAAAGAGUUCGUAGGUGGUUAAAAAAGUUGGUUGUGAAAUCCCGAAGCUUAACUUCGGAACUGCAAUCAAAACUUUUUAGCUAGAGUAUGAUAGAGGAAAGCAGAAUUUCUAGUGUAGAGGUGAAAUUCGUAGAUAUUAGAAAGAAUACCAAUUGCGAAGGCAGCUUUCUGGAUCAUUACUGACGCUGAGGAACGAAAGCAUGGGUAGCGAAGAGGAUU
RNAcentral lists this ribosomal RNA (392 nucleotides) under uncultured Gammaproteobacteria bacterium. RNAcentral describes it as "bacterial SSU rRNA". It matches the Rfam family "Bacterial small subunit ribosomal RNA", at positions 370 to 779 of the family's 1533-position model. The record is from RNAcentral. Lineage: Bacteria; Pseudomonadati; Pseudomonadota; Gammaproteobacteria.